GACGAACGCUGGCGGCGUGCUUAACACAUGCAAGUCGUACGGUAAGGCCCUUUCGGGGGUACACGAGUGGCGAACGGGUGAGUAACACGUGAGUAACCUGCCCACAACUUUGGGAUAACGCUAGGAAACUGGUGCUAAUACUGGAUAUGUGCUCCUGCUGCAUGGUGGGGGUUGGAAAGCUCCGGCGGUUGUGGAUGGACUCGCGGCCUAUCAGCUUGUUGGUGGGGUAGUGGCCUACCAAGGCGGCGACGGGUAGCCGGCCUGAGAGGGUGACCGGCCACAUUGGGACUGAGAUACGGCCCAGGCUCCUACGGGGGGCAGCGGUGGGGAAUAUUGCACAAUGGGCGCAAGCCUGAUGCAGCAACGCCGCGUGCGGGAUGACGGCCUUCGGGUUGUAAACCGCUUUCAGCAGGGACGAAGCUUUUUGUGACGGUACCUGCAGAAGAAGCACCGGCUAACUACGUG
Molecule: ribosomal RNA, 465 nt
Filed under: uncultured bacterium
Lineage: Bacteria
Description: partial 16S ribosomal RNA
Rfam family: Bacterial small subunit ribosomal RNA
Source: RNAcentral